AUCCCCGGGCUUAACCUGGGAACUGCAUUUGUGACUGCGAGACUAGAGUGUGGCAGAGGGGGGUAGAAUUCCACGUGUAGCAGUGAAAUGCGUAGAGAUGUGGAGGAAUACCGAUGGCGAAGGCAGCCCCCUGGGCCAACACUGACGCUCAUGCACGAAAGCGUGGGGAGCAAACAGGAUUAGAUGCCCUGGUAGUCCACGCCCUAAACGAUGUCAACUAGUUGUUGGGGAAGGAGACUUCCUUAGUAACGCAGCUAACGCGUGAAGUUGACCGCCUGGGGAGUACGGUCGCAAGAUUAAAACUCUGAAGGAAUUGACGGGGACCCGCACAAGCGGUGGAUUAUGUGGAUUAAUUCGAUGCAACGCGAAAAACCUUACCUACCCUUGACAUGCCAGGAACUUUCCAGAGAUGGAUUGGUGCCCGAAAGGGAACCUGGACACAGGUGCUGCAUGGCUGUCGUCAGCUCGUGUCGUGAGAUGUUGGGUUAAGUCCCGCAACGAGCGCAACCCUUGCCAUUAAUUGCCAUCAUUCAGUUGGGCACUUUAAUGGGACUGCCGGUGAUAAACCGGAGGAAGGUGGGGAUGACGUCAAGUCCUCAUGGCCCUUAUGGGUAGGGCUUCACACGUAAUACAAUGGUCGGUACAGAGGGUUGCCAACCCGCGAGGGGGAGCUAAUCCCAGAAAGCCGAUCGUAGUCCGGAUUGUUCUCUGCAACUCGAGAGCAU
This 725-nucleotide ribosomal RNA is filed under the name uncultured Rhodocyclales bacterium. Its description in RNAcentral is "bacterial SSU rRNA". It matches the Rfam family "Bacterial small subunit ribosomal RNA", at positions 599 to 1321 of the family's 1533-position model. Lineage: Bacteria; Pseudomonadati; Pseudomonadota; Betaproteobacteria; Rhodocyclales. The record is from RNAcentral.